RNAcentral lists this ribosomal RNA (253 nucleotides) under uncultured bacterium. RNAcentral's name for it is "partial 16S ribosomal RNA". It matches the Rfam family "Bacterial small subunit ribosomal RNA", at positions 524 to 776 of the family's 1533-position model. The record is from RNAcentral.
AACGUAGGACGCAAGCGUUAUCCGGAAUUACUGGGCGUAAAGCGCGUGUAGGUGGUUGCAUAAGUCACUGUUGAAAGCUCCCGGCUAAACUGGGAGAGGUGCGGUGAGACUGUGUGGCUAGAGUGUGGAAGAGGGGUGCAGAAUUCCGGGUGUAGUGGUGAAAUGCGUAGAUAUCUGGAGGAACACCGGUGGCGAAGGCGGCAUCCUGGACCAACACUGACGCUGAGGAGCGAAAGCCAGGGGAGCAAACGGG